GGGGCACGGGAACCAGCCUUCCCGGAAAAAAGGUUGCAAGAAAAAAAAUCGCUUGACCAAUUGGGGGAAGAACAUGAUGUCCUCCAGCUUGCUUUUACGACUCUGUGUAGCUUGUCUUGAAAGUUGAUCUGGAUGCUGGACACACCACUGCUGGCAUGUUGUUGGGAAGAGAGGUACGCUGAGCACAGUGCCUGAGCUCCAUCCUGACCGAGGUACCCCAGACAGGGCGCCUUCGUCCCUACACUGCACGUCUCCGCUGCACUACGUUGGACGUGCCACGCAGAUGUGUUGCGUGUGUGCGGCUCAUCUCCUGCAGGCUUGCCCUGCGUGCGCAGCGUGACAGCGCGUGGAGCUGAAUGCAAUGACACUAGGACGCAUGUGGGGCAGUGCUGCCCAGUGCGCACAAACUCAGGCCAGCUCCUCACCCUCCCAGCACCGGCUCAGAAGAGCACAGAGGCCAUUAGUGUCUUUAAUACAACAUGGGCCAGCGGCUGGUGACCGGAGAGGUCCUGCUCAAUCCCAUGUUCCUCCACAUCAGUCAAGCUCUGAAACUUUAUGUAUGCAACGGACACCUAAGAAAUGCUCCUCUGGCAAAGUCUGUACGAGAGAAAGCUUUCUGCAGGAUGUGUAUUUUUAACCUGGUUGCCCACUGAAACUAUUCAAAU
Rhea pennata is the source of this 665-nucleotide long non-coding RNA. RefSeq lists it as uncharacterized. The transcript is spliced from 3 exons. The record is from RefSeq and is a predicted model, not a curated record. NCBI's taxonomy places the organism in Eukaryota, Metazoa, Chordata, Aves, Rheiformes, Rheidae.